RNAcentral lists this ribosomal RNA (120 nucleotides) under Petromyzon marinus (sea lamprey). Lineage: Eukaryota; Metazoa; Chordata; Hyperoartia; Petromyzontiformes; Petromyzontidae. The record is from RNAcentral.
CCAUACGACGAAAUCACCUUGAAUGUGACCCAUCUCAUCACAUCUCGGAAGCUAAGUAGGCUUGUGAGCCGGUUAGUCGGUGGGUGAGAGACUGCCUGGGAGUGCCAGGUGCUGUAUAUA